UUAGCAGACAGUUAGCGGCAGUUGGUCUGUGCUACAUGUGUGUUUCACUCAAGUUUAGAGCUAUUAGACAGUUUUUAGCUGCAGUUUGGUCGGUGCGACAUGGGCAUUUUACUCUGAACAGAGCUGAUGGACAGUUUUAGCGCAGUUUGGUCGGUGCAACACGUGCGUUUUACUCUGAACUUCAGAGCUUGACAAUUUUUAGCUGCUGUUUGAUCGGUAAGACGCAUGCGUUUUACUCUGAAAAGAGAGCUGUUAGCAGACAGUUAGUGGCAGUUGGUCUGUGCUACAUGUGUGUUUCACUCAAGUUUUGAGCUAUUAGACAGUUUUUAGCUGCAGUUUGGUCAGUGCAACACCUGCGUUUUACUCUGAACUUUAGAGCGAGACAAUUUUUAGGUGCUGUUUGGUCGGUAAGACGUAUGCGUUUUACUCUGAAAAGAGAGCUGUUAGUAGACAGUAUUUAGUGGCAGGCAGAUCGAUACAACACGUGUUUUACUCUAAACAGAGCACUGCUCUCUUGUAAUUUGUGAAUAUUUGUGUUAAUGUGAUUUAAAUUAACUUUUUCUUGUCAUCAAGGAUGCAGGCUGUACACGUGAAAUACAGGGAUUGUCAGAAGUACAUUUGUUAUGAGGGGCAACUGACCUUCAAAUCCUUUUUGGAUUAUGUUGCCAAUAAAUUUGACAUUCCAACCUUGGACUUAAAAGUCUAUGAUGAAUCGAAGACUGAAGUUGAUGAGGUGUUUGAGAAACAAGACCUUGGUGUGCUGGGAGAUUUGUUUACCCCAAGACACAAAUCCUGAUGGUGAGUUGCUUAUUAGCUUAGAGCUUCACUUCCCCCAUACAGUCCAGGCUAGCCUAACACAUGUUCUGAAUAUGUGAGACAAGCAGAUAUAUCUGCUGAUUUCUUUUCUCAUUUUAAUAUUUUAAAAUGAUCUUUGUUUCUGUGCUCACCUCUCCCACCCCUUUUAGGACAGUAGUGGGCCCAAUCAAUUCAAAAUGUUACAUUUUUGCAUUCCGCUUGUCAUUAACAAAAGUCCUCUAAUCAUGAUAAUGGAUGUUUCCACUUAAUUGUGUUAUAAUUACAGUGUUAAUCACACCAGUUAAAUGUUAACAUGAUUGCUAGAUUCGUUGAGCUCCUCUGCAAUCAGCUCCUUAUCAAAAUACAGUAGAGACAAUGAGGGGGACUCCAAUGACACCAUUAUAUUGCAGCCGAGUCCUGCUACAAGAAAGACAGCUGAGGAUAAUUGUCUAUCUCAUAUGAUUGAAGACAUUCUGAAGAACAAACCUGGAGGAGAGAGGAUCAUGAAUGAGUAUGCUCGGACAAAAAUCCUAACAGAUAGCAGAAGACGUGAUAUGGUCAAGAUAUUGGUUGCACAAAUGACAAGUGAACAUGGGACAAGUCCUUCAAGGCAUGUUAAAGAGGACUACGCAAAGGGCAUCAUUGCCUUGUUCCCAUACCUGGCCGAUCCUAGGAGCAAGUUUGGUUAUGAGCAUUAUUACAAUGCAGAAGAUGGGAGUGGAUAUCUAGCAUGGAGACUGAAAUCAGAGGGACGACAGAAGACCAUUUGAUUGUAGUUAGUCUCAUUCAUGACACAUGACCAGAGAAUAAUUGUACGUGAACAAUUGUAUAAGCAAGUGUUUCUUAGUCUCUUUUACUCUUUCAGUAUUUCUUAGUAUUAAUUAUGUUUCUGAGUCAAAUAAAUCCUACUUUUCAUCUGGUGACAUAACUGCAUGCAUGGUCAUCCUUGCAGAGUUUCCGAACCUUGUUUUUUAUAUCUUAUGACGCAAUAUUGUAUACUUGUAUAGAGCAGACAAACCCAGUAAUCUGUAAAAGUUUCACCGUGUUACAGGUGGUCCAAAAGCUGAUAGAGACCCCUUCAGAGAGGAAAACUGUCCAACAACAGAAAGCCUGUGUUGUGAGGCCAUUGCACUGAAGAAUACAGCUGGUGAAGCAAUUGUAAAGGAGAAGAUGAAGCAGACGUUCGCCUAUCGCCAAAAGAUGGUUCAUGACCCGGUGAAGUCCUCUGAAAUAUUCACAGCUGUUCCAAGACAUAGCAGGAAUGAUUGAGCAAGAUUUUAGUCUGAUGUUUGGUGAUGCAACCUCUGCAAAGUUCCUGGAGAAGUGGCCUACUCUCUACAAGCAGAAAGUCAUUGACCAAAGCCGGGGCUUUACAUAGACAGAUGACCUGCAAGACCUGGUUCAAAAUGCUGAAUCCACAACAGAAGUGGAAAAUGGAUGGGACAGUGACAUGUCCCCCACUUUGGUCUUUGUCCACCUUCUGCCACCGUCACCUCAUGGCCGCAAGACACCAGGAAAAAUCUCAGCCAGACAUGCCAGUGACCACAUUGUGAAGUUUAUCAAGACUGGGACCAGCAUCCAGGGGCAUCUGGAAAGCGUCAUGGAAAGCCUUCAACCCUAUCAGCUUGCUGUGGGGACCCAGAGGAGUGGGAUUCACAAGUACUUCAUUGUGAUUGACAAACAUGCAAUACCUUGUAAGUCACCAGACCCUCUUGCCUGUUUUGAUGAGCUAAUUUUGUCUUUGUUACCUCAUACAACCAGGAUCUGGUUAAUGUGUACAACUUCUUGCAAACCACAAUUUAUGAAAUUGAUGUUGAUACCACUAAGGUUAAUCCUAUGGUUGCAGAGUUGAGGGCUCGGAUGCUGCAUUGAGUUACUAAAAGUUUUGAAGUUGCAAAGGGUUAAAACGCAGCAUAGGAAAUAACCUUUUUCAUUUCACACAAACCUUUUCAUAUCAUUCAUCUAAAAUGUUGUAUUUUGCUUGCAAAAGCCCCCAGGCAAAUGCUAAUUCCUUGACAAAACACUUUGUCCACAGACUUUGUCCAGGAAAGACAUUUCGUCUUAAAUGCGGUUAGGCUGGUUGUUCACAAGUUUAUGGCACUUUUUCUGGGUUCAGAAAGCAUCUUAUAAAGCACAUGAACCUUGUUCUGAUCAUGAAGGCCCCUCUACAGCUGAAUAUAGCAGUCAUUUUGAUGACUUGCCAUCAACAAGUUCCCCUUCUGACUCAGUCCUUGUCAAUAAGAGUCUUGCGCUGCAACCAUAGCUGAAUUUAAAGUGCCAGGUGUAGGUGAAACAACCAGUAACUCUUUGGUAAUUUCCAUGCAAGAGAUAAUUGAUGAUAUUCAUAGUCAAGCUAAAGAAUCUGUGAAGAAGUGUGUCUAUACAGGAGCCUAUUAAAAGUGACAUUGAGUGUAAAAUUGAUCAGUGUUUUCAAAAAAUUGAAAAUCCUUUUGGUGUAUUAAAUUCUGAAAGUAAGAGAAGGCAGUAUUUUAUAGAAAAGUGGGGAAGGGUAGACCCAGUGAAUACGUUCUUGGUACAAGAUCUGAUACUCAACGCAAUCGGACUACUGGAGGCUAUGAUCCAUUUUGUUGUUUCUAAUACAUUUGUUUACAUGCCAAUUUUGAAAACAUUACAGUUUAUUUUCAAACACCCUAAUAAAAAGGAGAUGAUGCAGACCUGAUUCCAGUUCAAGAAAACUUUGACUUAUGUGAUGGAGAUCUGUUCAAGAGCCAUGCUCUAUUUUCAAAACAGAAGCAUGCAAUUCAGAUACAGCUUUUCUAUGAUUUUGAAACUGCAAAUCCUCUUGGAUCAAAACAGGGAAUACAUAAGUUUCACCUUACGGAAUUUUCCUCCAAAGUUCAAGUCAUUUCUGCUUAAUAUUCAUUUGGUUGCUUUAUUUCAUGCCCAAUACGUUUAAACAUAUGGCUUUUCUAAAAUACUUGAUCCAAUUGUGCAGGAUAUUAAAGUACUUGAGAGGGAUGGAAUUAUGGUCCCCUUGUAUGAUCAACCAGUGUAUGGAACUAUUGUCCAAGUUACAGGUGACAACCUUGGUCUUCACUGUUUAUUUGUUUUUGUUGAAUCAUUCAGUGCCAGAUAUUGUUGCCUCUUUUGCCUUGCUGAGAAAGAGGACUUUCAGACUGAAUUUGAUGAAGAUUCACCCUAGAUAGUUAUGCCAACUCGAGCACUUCAUGCAAUGGCAGACAUUUAACACCAACAGAGUAAUGAUCGGUCCGGGUAAAAUGCUAUCUUUAAAUAUGGUGGACUGGGGCUGUAAGAUGGCUGAGAUUCUUCAGGUACCAAUUGACACCAUGGUUUUAAAUGUUAAAUGGGCCAAACACCAUGGAAAUAUGUAUCGUUUAGUUUGUCUUAAAGUCAUUGUGAGAUGCCAGUUUUUCAGAAAAUCCACCAUGUUGUUACUGUUUACUUUUGCCCUACAAACAAUAUAUAUUGAUGAGCAUUUUAAUGCAUAUAGAGUUGGGUGUACAACAGAGGGAUCUUAUGUAGUUGAUGUUAAAGAGCUUUUCUGUCUCAAAGCAUUUGAUAUACAGAUGUCUUACAGUUAUGAUUCAAGUUUGUUUAUUGUCCCAUACUGUUUCCUGUGACUCUAAAAACUGCACAGUAAGCUCUUUAAAACCAAGAUGUAUUGUAUUGCAAUAUUGGCUUUUUUAUUUACUUCUAAUAAAGGUGGGACAGAUAUCAAAAUGUAAUUUUACAGAGGCCACAAUUUUAUCAUCAGUGUUUUUGAUAUGAGAUGCCAGUUUCAUAAAAUCCUCCAUGUCAUUGUUAAAUGAUUGAAUUGCAAUAUUGAGCCUUUUUAUCUACAUGUAUUAAAGUGAACAGAGGCCAACAUUUCAUUUUAGUCCACAU
This is a non-coding RNA of Salmo salar (Atlantic salmon), 4662 nucleotides long. NCBI's taxonomy places the organism in Eukaryota, Metazoa, Chordata, Actinopteri, Salmoniformes, Salmonidae. The record is from RefSeq and is a predicted model, not a curated record.